Molecule: long non-coding RNA, 630 nt
Filed under: Pongo abelii (Sumatran orangutan)
Lineage: Eukaryota; Metazoa; Chordata; Mammalia; Primates; Hominidae
Description: lincRNA
Source: RNAcentral
UGCAAGAUGUGGGGAAAAAGCAAAUUCACGGAGUCCUCUCUGCAAAGGCUGCAGGGCUGGUGCCUCCGACAGGGCAGAUGGAUGACCCACAAUUACCCGCCCAGAUCCCCCAGCCUCACCCCACUCCCUCCCGCCUGGUCUCCAAGCAAUUUCAGACUCUUUGUACAUCCAGAGCAGAGAUUGUGUACGAUUUCUCUCGCCAGCAGAAGCGGCUUUCAGGGGUUGCUAAACUGCAGGAUGGGCCCCUGGACUAUUGGGGCCAUCCCUCCCCUCCUUGUGGGGGGCCAUCCCUCUCCUCCUUGUGGGGGGCCAUCCCUCUCCUCCUUGUGGGGGGCCUUCUGAGAAUGAAGUCACAUAGAGGCCAGAAGAGCCCAGAGAUGGAGAGAAACCAAGCACCCAUGACGCUGUUGGAAUCCCUGGAACCACCCAGGCCCGGUCCGGCAGCACCAUCUCUGGACUUUAAAGUGAUGUCAGACAAUUCUCUUUCAGCUCAUGCCAAUUUUAAUUGGGUUUCUGUCACUUGAGACCAAAGAUUCCUGACUGAUUCAGAGGAUUUCGUUAGGAGAGAUAGAGCUUGAGCUUCCAAGAAGGAUAUGAAUCGAUGAUUAGGGAGAGACAAGAGUGUAUAUU